UGUGUGAGCGAGCUUGCUCGCGAUGAGGGUGUAUCAGUUGAUUGGAAUUGGGCUGAUCCACUGCUAUCGCGAGCAAGCUCGCUCCCACA
This 89-nucleotide unclassified non-coding RNA is filed under the name Pseudomonas sp. NFACC16-2. Lineage: Bacteria; Pseudomonadati; Pseudomonadota; Gammaproteobacteria; Pseudomonadales; Pseudomonadaceae. The record is from RNAcentral.